UGAUCUCCAGGACCUGCUGGGUCUUGAAGGCGUCCUUGCUCCCCAGGGCGGAGGUGCUGGCCCCGAUGAAAAGCGCUUGCUCGGCGGCCAGCAUGAGCAUGGCGUGCCGGACGAUCUCCCCCAGGUAGAGGCCGCCCACCAUCUUCUCAAACCUGCGUGUGGUGGGAGUCAGCCCCCUCCCCAGCACGGCCCCACCACCCCCAGCCCUCUCAGAGCACCACGGGGGGGUCCAUUCGCUCCUGCUGGCGUCCCCAUCGCUCCGAGGAGACCCCCGGGGAACCCCCCCCUCCCUUGCUGCACCUCCUCUCCCCAGGGUUGGAGGACUCCUGGUCCACGCGGUGGUCGUAGGGGGUGAGCACAUCGUUGAGGGCGCCGUCAUCCCCGAAGCAGCCCCACUCGCUGUUGACGCACAUCCUGCCGUUGUUCUCCUCCACCACCUCCACCAGCUGCGCCUCGGCCAUGAAGCAGCUGUUGGUGCCCGUGCCUGGGGGGGUGGGAGCGAGGUUUGGGGGGGUGCUGAGCGCCGACGCAGCCCCCCCCCAGCAGCGCCGUGCCGCCCCCCGUGGCACCCGCUGCUCACCCAUCACCAGGGCGAUCUCGCAGGGCUUCCCCCCCCAGCUGCUGGCCAUCAUGGUGCCCACGGUGUCGUUGAGCAGGGCGAUGACUUCCACAGUGGUAGACCUCCAGCUUGUUGAUGGCUGCCUGCAGCAGCUGCACCACGUCCUUGCCCUCCACGUCGCUGCACUGGAAGCCCUUGGACCAGGAGAUGAGCUCGGCCUGCACAGAGCACGGGGGGCGAGCUGUUGGCCAUCGGCUCGGGGAUGUCUCUGUCCCCCCCCCCGGCGAGCUGCCCCGCUCACCUUGCCCAGCCCCGUCUGCCUGCAGCUGAACGGGAAGACGAAGCCCACGGGGAGGCGAUGCUGGGGGUUGCCGAUUUCCUCCAGGAACUUUUGCACGCAUUGAGGCGACGAAGUCAAAGAGCUGCGAAGGCAGCGGGUGAGCAGCUGCCCCCCUGCCCCAGCACCCCGGGGUGCAGGAGGUGGUCGGAGCCCUGCGGUACCAUGAUCCCCCCCCCCCCCGUACCGCUUCGCCGGUGCCCUGCAGCUUGUCCACUGGCAGCUCGAAGGACCUUGUACAUCAGCUGGGGGCUCUGGUUUCCGUCGCCCAGCAGGGUCACGAACAGGGUGCGGACGUGGCUCUGGCACAGCUCCACCACCAUGAGGUCGCCCUUCUCUACGGGGCAGCAGUGGCAGCGUCGGGCAGAGACCAGCCCCCGAUCUGCC
RNAcentral lists this long non-coding RNA (1283 nucleotides) under Anas platyrhynchos (mallard). RNAcentral describes it as "lncRNA (ENSAPLG00020012381.1)". Lineage: Eukaryota; Metazoa; Chordata; Aves; Anseriformes; Anatidae. The record is from RNAcentral.